This 468-nucleotide ribosomal RNA is filed under the name uncultured bacterium. RNAcentral's name for it is "partial 16S ribosomal RNA". It matches the Rfam family "Bacterial small subunit ribosomal RNA", at positions 28 to 507 of the family's 1533-position model. The record is from RNAcentral.
GACGAACGCUGGCGGCGUGCUUAACACAUGCAAGUCGAACGGAAAGGCCCUGCUUUUGUGGGGUGCUCGAGUGGCGAACGGGUGAGUAACACGUGAGUAACCUGCCCUUGACUUUGGGAUAACUUCAGGAAACUGGGGCUAAUACCGGAUAGGAGCUCCUGCUGCAUGGUGGGGGUUGGAAAGUUUCGGCGGUUGGGGAUGGACUCGCGGCUUAUCAGCUUGUUGGUGGGGUAGUGGCUUACCAAGGCUUUGACGGGUAGCCGGCCUGAGAGGGUGACCGGGCACCUUGGGACUGCGGUACGGCCCAGACUCCUACGGGAGGCAACAGUGGGGAAUAUUGCACAGUGGGCCGAAGCCUGAUGCAGCAGCGCCGCGUGCGGGAUGACGGCCUUCGGGUUGUAAACCGCUUUCGCCUGUGACGAAGCGUGAGUGACGGUAAUGGGUAAAGAAGCACCGGCUAACUACGUG